Long non-coding RNA from Gossypium raimondii (Peruvian cotton), 1743 nucleotides. RefSeq lists it as uncharacterized. The transcript is spliced from 2 exons. Lineage: Eukaryota; Viridiplantae; Streptophyta; Magnoliopsida; Malvales; Malvaceae. The record is from RefSeq and is a predicted model, not a curated record.
UUAAGUACUUAUAACAUAUUUAUUGUAAAUAAUAUUUUUUUGAAUAUAAAUCAGGCCAUUUAUUAUUUUUAUUAAAAGAAGUGACUUACAAACAGAAAAAAAAAAAAAAUCAAAACCUAACAAAAUCCACCCUAAAAAAUCACAACAAAGACCCAGCCUAGAAAAGAGCUCCCCACAGUCCUUAAGGACAUUUAGAAAAUGAAAAACCAAUAGCUCUUUACAAUCAAAACCGUCUCUUCUCAAUACUGGAAGUUAAAGAGACUUUCUUCCUCAACCCUUCUUUUUUCCCCUUCGAACAACCCCAAAUCUGGUCACUGAUUACCAUUUCUUUGCUCUUCUGUCGUUUCUGACUACCGAUUAUCUUUUUCCAUCUCUUCCAUCACCGACGAAGGAAUCAUAUUAGUCAGAUAAGUAGUUCCUCCUCCUCUUAUGCCUUCUAUAGCUAGUCGAUGGGGUGUUUCAUUUGCCUUUUUGUCGAUAUAUCUAAACAUGUAUUCCUUAAAUCCUCGAUUGGAUCAUUUUGCAUCUUCAAUGUAAACACUUAUCAUAGAAUCAUCUUAUCUUUGUGUCUGUAGUUUCUUAAUCACUGUGAGGUUGUCUUCUUCAACAACCACUUUCUUGAACCUAAGAUCCAGACCCAUUUGGACUCUUUGAAGGCAGGCCAACACUUCAGCCGCAAAAAGGUCCAGAAGGAAAAAACUAAAGGGAGCCUCCAUUUCCUCUCAACGCCCCCAUCUCUCCGGCCUAGGUUUUCAGCAGUAGGUCGCCCUAGCGCCGCCGUGUAACCACCGUGCCAGAGAGUAAAAACGUCUUUUUUCUUUUAAAAAAGGAAUCCUCUCCCUUUAAAGGGGUUUUUUUCUUCAAACGCAAACCCGAUUCGGGGUAUUUUGAAACUGCAAACGAGGAAGAAAAAGAGGACGUGGCCGUCCUUGCUACUUCGCCGUCUUCUCUUUGCCGAUGCAGCCGAGAUGAAAUCUCAAGGGGUUUCUGCGGCUUUAAUGACUGGAGGAGAACUCCGACGGCGAUAGCCCACGAGGAGACAGGUAAGUCCCGACCGCCCUUUUGGUUUUCUGUUUUUCUUUAUUUAUUCCCUUUUUAAAAUAAAAAUAAAACAUAAAAAUAAAUCUAAAAUAACAGAGACACAAAUCACCUUCUGUAGUCUGAAAUCUAUAUCUUUUGUGUAUCCGAAAAACAAUUACAGAGAUUGGGUUUAGGCUUUUAUAGCCAAACUAAAGCUAAUUGCUAUGAUUUCUUGUCUUUGUUCUUUUUCUUUUCUGUUUGCUUUUAUUUCUUUGAUUUUCUUGCUGUCAGUAUUUUGUUUGUUUCUUCGUUGUCUUCUCUGUUGCAUGUGUUUUCUGUUUUGCAGGUGACUGAUGUGAUGCGCAUGGGAAGGCGGCGAUUGGUGAGACCGACGAUUGGCAAGCCGAGCGGCGGCGACGUACGCAAAGGAGGCUAGCAGAACGUGCGGUGCCGGAGGCUGACCCUGGCUAGGGUUUCUUACUGAAGAAAACGUUUUAAUCGGGCUUUGGGCUGUUAGGUUUUUUAGUUGUUGGGCUAGUUGGGUUAGAUUUAAUCUGAUUUGGGCUAGACUUUGGGUUAUUACGUUUUGGGUUUCAUUUGGGCUUUGGGGUCAUAUUGGGCCUAUUAUAGAUGGACUUUUUAUUUUUGGGUUUACUUUUGUUUUGAUAAUUGGGCCGCGGGCAGAAAUUGGGCCUUACAAUAUAACCAUGCUUCAUUAUCUCA